AUUGAACGCUAGCGGGAUGCCUUACACAUGCAAGUCGAACGGCAGCACGGACUUCGGUCUGGUGGCGAGUGGCGAACGGGUGAGUAAUGUAUCGGAACGUGCCCAGUAGCGGGGGAUAACUACUCGAAAGAGUAGCUAAUACCGCAUACGCCCUACGGGGGAAAGGGGGGGAUCGCAAGACCUCUCACUAUUGGAGCGGCCGAUAUCGGAUUAGCUAGUUGGUGGGGUAAAGGCCCACCAAGGCGACGAUCCGUAGCUGGUUUGAGAGGACGACCAGCCACACUUGGACUGAGACACGGCCCAGACUCCUGCGGGAGGAAGCAGUGGGGAAUUUUGGACAAUGGGGGGCAACCCUGAUUCAGCCAUCCCGCGUGUGCGAUGAAGGCCUUCGGGUUGUAAAGCACUUUUGGCAGGAAAGAAAUCGCAUGGGUUAAUACCCUGUGUGGAUGACGGUACCUGCAGAAUAAGCACCGGCUAACUACGUGCCAGCCGCCGCGGUAA
This 501-nucleotide ribosomal RNA is filed under the name uncultured bacterium. Its description in RNAcentral is "partial 16S ribosomal RNA". It matches the Rfam family "Bacterial small subunit ribosomal RNA", at positions 30 to 523 of the family's 1533-position model. The record is from RNAcentral.